AUUGAACGCUGGCGGCAGGCCUAACACAUGCAAGUCGAACGGUAACAGGAAGCAGCCUGCUGCUUUGCUGACGAGUGGCGGACGGGUGAGUAAUGUCUGGGAAACUGCCCGAUGGAGGGGGAUAACUACUGGAAACGGUAGCUAAUACCGCAUAACGUCGCAAGACCAAAGAGGGGGACCUUCGGGCCUCUUGCCAUCGGAUGUGCCCAGAUGGGAUUAGCUUGUUGGUGAGGUAACGGCUCACCAAGGCGACGAUCCCUAGCUGGUCUGAGAGGAUGACCAGCCACACUGGAACUGAGACACGGUCCAGACUCCUACGGGAGGCAGCAGUGGGGAAUAUUGCACAAUGGGCGCAAGCCUGAUGCAGCCAUGCCGCGUGUAUGAAGAAGGCCUUCGGGUUGUAAAGUACUUUCAGCGGGGAGGAAGGUGUUGUGGUUAAUAACCGCAGCAAUUGACGUUACCCGCAGAAGAAGCACCGGCUAACUCCGUGCCAGCCGCCGCAGUAA
RNAcentral lists this ribosomal RNA (506 nucleotides) under uncultured bacterium. Its description in RNAcentral is "partial 16S ribosomal RNA". It matches the Rfam family "Bacterial small subunit ribosomal RNA", at positions 30 to 523 of the family's 1533-position model. The record is from RNAcentral.